Molecule: unclassified non-coding RNA, 262 nt
Filed under: Hevea brasiliensis (rubber tree)
Lineage: Eukaryota; Viridiplantae; Streptophyta; Magnoliopsida; Malpighiales; Euphorbiaceae
Source: RNAcentral
GUGAUAUUGCAUCUUGAAAAAAAACAAGCAAUAGUGAUAAGCAGCCAAAACAAAUACAUGACAAUAACUAAACAGAAGUUUCCUGACACGUCAACUAUCAAGUAAACUACUUAAACCCAACAAUUGAUCAAACCAAAAGGGAGUUCGAAACAGAGUCAUACAUGGUUUAAAGAUAAACAACUUUAGACUCAAUUUGAUCAAAGUUUUAAGCCACUACUCAUUUAGCAUAUGCGAAAGACAAACAAGAAAGAGCAGGGAGAUA